Molecule: ribosomal RNA, 470 nt
Filed under: uncultured bacterium
Lineage: Bacteria
Description: partial 16S ribosomal RNA
Rfam family: Bacterial small subunit ribosomal RNA
Source: RNAcentral
GGUGAACGCUGGCGGCGUGCCUAAGACAUGCAAGUCGAGCGGGGCAGGUUUAUACCUGUUCAGCGGCGGACGGGUGAGUAACGCGUGUGUGACCUACCCGGAAGAGGCGGACAACCUGGGGAAACCCAGGCUAAUCCGCCAUGUGGUCCUGUCCUGUGGGGCAGGACUAAAGGGUGGAUAGCCCGCUUCCGGAUGGGCCCGCGUCCCAUCAGCUAGUUGGUGGGGUAAAGGCCCACCAAGGCGACGACGGGUAGCCGGUCUGAGAGGAUGGCCGGCCACAGGGGGACGGAGACCCGGGCGCCACUCGUACGGGAGGCAGCAGUUAGGAAUCUUCCGCAAUGGGCGCAAGCCUGACGGAGCGACGCCGCUUGGAGGAGGAAGCACUUCGGGGUGUACACUCCUGAACUGGGGACGAAAGCCCCGUGUAGGGGGAUGACGGUACCCAGGUAAUAGCGCCGGCCAACUCCGUG